GCAAGUCGAGCGGGCGUAGCAAUACGUCAGCGGCAGACGGGUGAGUAACGCGUGGGAACGUACCUUUUGGUUCGGAACAACACAGGGAAACUUGUGCUAAUACCGGAUAAGCCCUUACGGGGAAAGAUUUAUCGCCGAAAGAUCGGCCCGCGUCUGAUUAGCUAGUUGGUAGGGUAACGGCCUACCAAGGCGACGAUCAGUAGCUGGUCUGAGAGGAUGAUCAGCCACAUUGGGACUGAGACACGGCCCAAACUCCUACGGGAGGCAGCAGUGGGGAAUAUUGGACAAUGGGGGCAACCCUGAUCCAGCCAUGCCGCGUGAGUGAUGAAGGCCCUAGGGUUGUAAAGCUCUUUUGUGCGGGAAGAUAAUGACGGUACCGCAAGAAUAAGCCCCGGCUAACUUCGUGCCAGCAGCCGCGGUAAUACGAAGGGGGCUAGCGUUGCUCGGAAUCACUGGGCGUAAAGGGUGCGUAGGCGGGUCUUUAAGUCAGGGGUGAAAUCCUGGAGCUCAACUCCAGAACUGCCUUUGAUACUGAAGAUCUUGAGUUCGGGAGAGGUGAGUGGAACUGCGAGUGUAGAGGUGAAAUUCGUAGAUAUUCGCAAGAACACCAGUGGCGAAGGCGGCUCA
RNAcentral lists this ribosomal RNA (627 nucleotides) under Bradyrhizobium japonicum. Its description in RNAcentral is "bacterial SSU rRNA". It matches the Rfam family "Bacterial small subunit ribosomal RNA", at positions 57 to 728 of the family's 1533-position model. The record is from RNAcentral. Lineage: Bacteria; Pseudomonadati; Pseudomonadota; Alphaproteobacteria; Hyphomicrobiales; Nitrobacteraceae.